This 622-nucleotide ribosomal RNA is filed under the name uncultured fungus. RNAcentral describes it as "eukaryotic LSU rRNA". It matches the Rfam family "Eukaryotic large subunit ribosomal RNA", at positions 22 to 626 of the family's 3401-position model. The record is from RNAcentral. Lineage: Eukaryota; Fungi.
UACCCGCUGAACUUAAGCAUAUCAAUAAGCGGAGGAAAAGAAACUAACAAGGAUUCCCCUAGUAACUGCGAGUGAAGCGGGAAAAGCUCAAAUUUGAAAUCUGGCAGUUUUUUGACUGUCCGAGUUGUAAUCUAGAGAAGUGUUACCUGUGCUGAACCGUGUACAAGUCUCCUGGAAUGGAGCAUCAUAGAGGGUGAGAAUCCCGUCUUUGACAUGGACUAUCUGUACGUUAUGGUGCGCUCUCAAAGAGUCGAGUUGUUUGGGAAUGCAGCUCAAAAUGGGUGGUAAAUGCCAUCUAAAGCUAAAUAUUGGCGAGAGACCGAUAGCGAACAAGUACCGUGAGGGAAAGAUGAAAAGAACUUUGGAAAGAGAGUUAAACAGUACGUGAAAUUGCUGAAAGGGAAACGCUUGAAGUCAGUCACGUUGGCUAGAAAUCAGCCUUGCUCUUGCUUGGUGUACUUUCUGGUUGAUGGGUCAGCAUCAAUUUUGACCAUUGGAUAAAGUCUCUGGGAAUGUGGCAUCUUUGGAUGUGUUAUAGCCCAGGGUCGCAUGCAGUGGUUGGGAUUGAGGAACUCAGCACGCCGCAAGGCCGGGUUUUUGGACCACGUUCGUGCUAGGAUGC